AAACACUUUCUGCGGGUCCAUUUCUCUUCGUCGAUGGACAAGCAUUCCACACACUGCGGGACGCCGUCCAACUUUGUCACCGUUUUCACGUGCAAGCGGUGAAAAAGGUUGCUAGAUAUAUCUUUGUUUGAACAAAACAUGGUACUAUGCUUUCCCUCAACACCAAAGAAAUUGGCAAUGAGCAUUGCUUGUUUUGCCUCUGGGACUGCCAUGUUAGCUUAUGGGGUUCAUCUUUCUUAUGUCAAUGUUGCUCCCCAGCAAGCUCGAAUCAAAGCUCGCAAUGACUUCGUCAAAGAGGUAUUGAGAAAGAAGUAUGGUUACAUUCCGCCACAGCAAGCCCGGAGUAUAGCUCGCAGUGAUUUGCUCAAGGACACAUUUAAAAGAUCUGGUUUUAAUAAAUGAACAAGGUUCGGAUGGCUUUUGUUCUGAUUCUUGCUCCUUAUUUAUUUUUGACUUGUAAAAGAAUGGAUGGAAUGCUUACCAUUGCCAAGCAGCAAUCAUCAUCCCUGCUUUGAAAAUAUUUGUAGGUGGACUAAGAUUGCCUAUUUGGUUUUGUUUUUGAUUGGGAGUGUUCAAGGCAUGCCUUCCUUUCUGAGACACAGCAAGUGUUGCAAGCAGAAAUAUGUAUGCCUAUGGAGGAAGACUUUGUGGAGUUGAUGGAUAUACUCUACUGGUCCUUGCCUUGUCCCUUGAGUUUCUUCUCCGAAUUUUUUAUUAUUGCUAAGAUUAUCAUGGUACAAAAUAUUUCAUGUCUUGGUGAUUGUAACAUUUUUUUUUAAAUAAAUAUAGAUGUGAACAUAAAUCAUGACUCAAAUUGAGUAGUUUGUUGUAUAUUGUAUACUCUGGUAUAGAAUAUAUGCAUUUUCUUCUUGUUAA
Prosopis cineraria is the source of this 876-nucleotide long non-coding RNA. RefSeq lists it as uncharacterized. The record is from RefSeq and is a predicted model, not a curated record. The transcript has 2 exons. Lineage: Eukaryota; Viridiplantae; Streptophyta; Magnoliopsida; Fabales; Fabaceae.